This 310-nucleotide ribosomal RNA is filed under the name Oxynaspis ryukyuensis. Its description in RNAcentral is "partial 12S ribosomal RNA". The record is from RNAcentral. Lineage: Eukaryota; Metazoa; Arthropoda; Thecostraca; Poecilasmatidae.
AUUGGAUUUGGCGGCGAAAUAACUUUUUAGAGGAACCUGCCCUAUAAACGACGGACCACGAUUUAUCUUACUUUUUUUAGUAAUCAGUUUAUAUACCGCUGUUGUCAGUUAGUUUUUAUAAAAAAUUAUCUAUAAUAAUAUUAUUAAGGACUUCAAGUAAAGGUGUAAUUUAUGGAAAAGAAAGAGGUGGGUUACAAUUGAUUAAUCAAUAACGGAUAUAUUAUAUGAAAUUAAGUGUUUAAGGAGGAUUUAAAAGUAAAAUUUUUAGCAAAUUUGAUAGUAGCAAUAUUUUGUGUACAAACCGCCCGUC